This 10593-nucleotide small RNA is filed under the name Caenorhabditis elegans. RNAcentral describes it as "Unclassified non-coding RNA H12I13.7". The record is from RNAcentral. Lineage: Eukaryota; Metazoa; Nematoda; Chromadorea; Rhabditida; Rhabditidae.
ACCCGCUCUGUCGAGGAACUCUAGAUCAUUCACAAGAUCAAACAAUGUGCUGCCAACCUGGUCCUUGGAUUCCAAUGGUGAAAUGCGUUCAAGAUUGUCGCUCUCUGAAGUUUUGGAUAGUGGCGAUUUAAUGAAGUUUGCCGUUGACAAAACUGGGUGCCAGUUCCUAGAAAAGGCAGUGAAGGGCAGCCUGACAUCUUAUCAGAAGUUCCAAUUGUUUGAACAAGUUAUUGGGAGAAAAGAUGAUUUCCUUGUAAGUUUUAGUUUCUGCGAGCACACAUGACUUUUCUUUUCAGAAAUUGAGCACGAACAUCUUUGGAAAUUAUUUGGUACAAAGCGUUAUUGGAAUUUCAUUGGCAACUAAUGAUGACGGAUACACAAAGCGACAAGAAAAGUUGAAGAACUUCAUCAGUUCCCAAAUGACAGAUAUGUGCUUGGACAAAUUUGCGUGUCGUGUUAUCCAAUCCAGUCUCCAGAACAUGGAUUUAUCCCUUGCGUGUAAACUUGUUCAAGCUCUACCUCGUGAUGCUCGUCUUAUCGCAAUCUGUGUUGAUCAAAAUGCCAAUCACGUCAUUCAGAAAGUCGUAGCAGUCAUCCCACUGAAGAAUUGGGAGUUUAUUGUGGAUUUCGUUGCCACCCCAGAGCACCUCCGUCAGAUUUGUUCUGAUAAGUAUGGGUGCCGUGUUGUGCAAACUAUUAUCGAAAAGCUCACUGCUGAUUCAAUGAACGUUGAUUUAACUUCCGCUGCUCAAAAUCUUCGUGAACGAGCGCUCCAACGACUCAUGACUUCUGUGACUAAUCGGUGCCAAGAAUUAGCUACGAACGAGUAUGCCAAUUACAUAAUACAGCAUAUUGUAUCCAAUGAUGAUCUGGCCGUUUAUCGGGAAUGUAUCAUAGAGAAAUGCCUCAUGUGAGUGUUAUUGUUUAAUAUCUACUUGAUUUUUAAUCAUCAAUAUUUCAGGCGCAACCUUCUUUCGUUGUCCCAGGAAAAGUUUGCUUCUCAUGUUGUUGAGAAAGCAUUCCUACAUGCACCAUUGGAACUUCUUGCCGAAAUGAUGGACGAGAUUUUCGACGGAUACAUUCCACAUCCGUAAAAACAUUAGUUUCAGUCACAUAAAAAUGAAAUGUUUUUUCAGGGACACGGGAAAAGAUGCCCUCGAUAUCAUGAUGUUCCAUCAAUUCGGAAACUACGUCGUUCAAUGCAUGCUGACUAUUUGCUGUGAUGCUGUGUCUGGAAGACGGCAAACGAAAGAAGGAGGCUAUGACCAUGCAAUCUCAUUCCAGGAUUGGCUGAAAAAGUUGCACUCGAGAGUUACGAAAGAAAGGCAUCGCUUGUCAAGGUUAUCACUAUUGUCACAAUAAUAUUUUGAAAUUCGAAAUUCAGGUUCUCAUCCGGCAAAAAGAUGAUCGAGACGCUUGCCAAUCUCCGUUCAACUCAUCCGAUUUAUGAACUCCAAUCUUCGGGACACGAUUCAUUCAAGACGGAUUACUUCAGUACUGCUUCCGAGCACGAUGGUCCGGAGUUGGAGAAGAAUGGGAUCGAGGAAGGAAGCCUGAUGCUAGAGCCACGGAGCAAUAAGUCUUCAGUCUCUGUCAAAUUUUCUUCUUCCGGUAGUCACGGCGAUGAUUAAGGUGGAACUUUCUCACCAUAAAUCUCAUCCCACCCACUUAUGUUCUGUUGUUUUGUAAUAUUUUAAACUGGUGCAAUGAUUUCGUUUCGAUUUUAAGAUCGAUGUUGUGCCUUCCCCACUCUUAUCAUUGCCCAGUUUUGUUUUUUCUUUUCUUUUUUGUUAUUUUAUUGCUUUUUAUGCAGUUGUGUUAUUGUUUCUUUCUGUUUACUGUUCAUUGUUUUUGUUAAUUUUUUAUUUUCGAUUUUAAUGAAUCCAGAUAAAAUUAGACAACUUGGCAAAAUAUCGUUCGAGUCUUUGUCAUGCUUCCACCGAGAGCUUCCUGCUUCCAUACAAUGCCUGCUCAGAAAACAAUUUUGAAAGCGAAGAGAAAAGUUGUUCUUUGCUCGGAGAACAAAAAACUGAUAACCGACAAAUGUUGACUUUGUAAAUUUAAUCAAAUUAGAAACCAUGAAGAAUAAAUAUAGUUCAAUUAUCAUAUUGAAAUUUAUCUUACAAUUGCAUCGAUUUCAAAAUAAUGGGACUCUCAGAAAAUAGAAAAACAAAAAUUGGAUACUGGGGAUGAGGAAGAACUCCGCGAACAUUGGCGGUCCUUCUCUCAUGUGGUCCUCGUAUAGGUGGUGGCAAUCCUCUCAUUGUUAUCCAACAUCGAGAAAAUGUUCUUCGGCUAGAACUCUGAAACAAAAAUACUUUCAAAUUAAAAUUGUCAAGAUAAAUUCGUACUUCCUGACACAAUUUGUGUUGUUGCAGCGUUGAAUUCGAUUCCAAACCAAGUGGCAAGACCAAGACCCAGCAAUGAUGAUGGAAUAGUUGAAUUGACAGAAUUCCUCGAGCAUAUCAGCAAUGGAUGUUGAUGCAAGUGGAUGCAAUGUUCUUCUUUUGUUUCUCAUCAACGUUUGCCUUAUGAUUGUGAAGUGACUUGAUGAACUCUCUCUGCCAUGCUUAAAGAACUUGUUCAGCAGCAAUUUCGUUCCAUGCAUCAAUGUCUAAUCCAGCCUUCAUAGAGUUUCUUCCAGGCUUCUGCUUGAAUCUCAAGAAAACAUAGGCGGGGCUUGCAACGAGAAAAACUGAUUGAAGAGCAUCAUCUCCUGAUAGUUUUCCUCCCUUCUUGGCACGUCUUGGAUCUCCUAGUAUCAUAUCUUCAAGCCAAUUAAGAACGUUAGAUGCGAAACCAGAACAUCCACUGUGUAUACAUAUUCAUCACUUCGGACCAUUUGUCUUUGUUAUCUUUCAACCAUUCGAAAACAGACUUCCGGUAUUAUUUAUAAUCUGAAACAUGACUUUAUAUUUUAAUAGAAAAACGAAUUUACUUAAAUACAGUCUUUCAAUUCUCUGGCUUUUUGCUUUUUCUCUUUUUCUUCUGCAGCUCUGGUUUCCUCCGGUGACAAAGUAGUCGUAGUUGGAAUAGGAGCAGUUGUUACUGGAAUAUUUGCUGGUACUGCAUCUUCAACUGCUGGAAUCGCAUCUACUGGUCUUUAUUCUUAAUCUUAAAUUUUAUGGCAAAUACUGUUUUACUACUUGAUCUUUUACUAUGUAUCUCUUUUACUACAAGAUCUCUUUUACUACGGAAUCUCUUUUACUACGAAUUCCGCAUUUAGAUCUUUUACUACAAUUGGCUCUUUUACUACGUGAUCUCUUUUACUACCAUUUGACCACAUAUAUCUUUUACUACGGAAAAUACUUUUUUACUACCUCAUUUUUUACUACGUGGAUCUUUCACUACGGUUUUUUAUUCCGAUGUUUUGCUACAGUUUGUAUCUUUUGCUACGGUAGACAUUUUUACUACAAUGGCAGGGAUUGUACUUUUCACUAUGUUUCGUAUCUUUUACUACUAAUUUUUUACUACGAAUUAAAAAUUAAUGUCUAUAGUAUUUUAUAUUCUAGAUAUAAACAAAUGUAUGAAUUUUUUUUCAAAAUACAUAGGUCAUAAUUGUAGAUGGAGUUAAUGGAGGGAGACUGUUGAGUUACUGUAGUGGUAUUGUGGAAAUAACAGUUUUCAGAUUAUAUAGUGUUUUUUUUAAUUUCUGGAAAUUUAUUCACUAUGAAAUGAGCAGAACUUAUUAUGGCCAUUUGGAUCUAGAAAUUAAAAAAAACACGAUAUGAUCUCUUGCUCUCUUGUAAAACUUUUGUAAAAAUUUCAGAAACAUUUAAAAAGUCCUCUAUAAAUGUUUUAAAACUCAGAAGAUUUUCUGAAAAUGAAAAUGUAGGUAUCCUAUCUCGGUCGUCAAUUUAUUUGUCAUAGUUUUCAACUACAAAGUUGUUGAAUAUGGUAUGAUCUACGAUUUGUCAGUUGAACAUUUUUUUACCAAAUUGUUUUUUCGCGGAGAUAUCGGUACUUGGAGUCAAUACGUUUUAUGAACUAACUUUUGACAACUUAUCUCCGUUUUUUUUUCAAAUCUAAAAUCGUGAUAUAAACAUUCAAAUUGACCGAAAACAAUAAUAAUUUUAUACAAGAUUCGAUAAAUUUAGAAAAAAAACAUUUCUAAAGUGUUGAUCAAAAGUUUCAAAAUGUCAGCUGAAGUCAAAAUUUUAAACACCUGACAGAUAACUGACCGAACCCGCAAGUUUUUUAUUACAUUAUAGACUUAUACAUAUAGACAUUAUAGACAAAACUUAUAGAGCAACGGGUAUGGAACUAAUUUGUUGGCUAUGCGAAAAAAAAAAGAAUUACUCCCACAAUACCACUACAGUAACCCAACAGUCUCCCUCCAUUAACUCCAUCUACAAUUAUGACCUAUGUAUUUAAAAAAAACUAUUCAUACAUUUGUUUAUAUCUAGAGUAUAAAAUAUUAUAGACAUUAAUUUUUAAUUCGUAGUAAAAAAUUAGUAGUAAAAGAUACGAAACAUAGUGAAAAGUACAAUCCCUGCCAUUGUAGUAAAAAUGUCUACCGUAGCAAAAGAUACAAACUGUAGCAAAACAUCGGAAUAUGAAACCGUAGUGAAAGAUCCACGUAGUAAAAAAUGAGGUAGUAAAAAAGUAUUUUCCGUAGUAAAAGAUCUAUGUGGUCAAAUGGUAGUAAAAGAGAUCACGUAGUAAAAGAGCCAAUUGUAGUAAAAGAUCUAAAUGCGGAACUUGUAGUAAAAGAGAUUCCGUAGUAACAGAGAUCUUGUAGUAAAAGAGAUACUUAGUAAAAGAUCAAGUAGUAAAACAGUAUUUGCCUUGAAGGCAGUAAGCAAAUUCGUUUUUUUUUCUAGUAAAAUAUAAAACCACGUUUCAGAUUGUAAAUCAUACCGGGAGUCUGCUUUCGAAUGGUUAAAAGAUAACAAAGACAAAUGGCCAGAAGUGAUGUCUGAAAACAUGUACCCACAGAAUGUUGAUUACGCAGCAGAGAUGACUGGAGGAUGUUCUGGUUUCGCAUCUAACGUUCUCAAUUGGCCUGAAGAUAUGAUACUUGGAAAUCCAAGACGUGCCAAGAAGGGAGGAAAACUAUCAGGAGCUGAUGCUCUACAAUUCGUUUUUCUUGUUGCAAGCCCCGCCGAUGUUUUCUUGAGAUUCAAGCAGAGCCUGGAAGAAACUCUGGAAACUCUCUCUCUCUAUGAAGAACAUUGCAUCCACUUGCAUCGACAUCCAUUGCUGAUAUGCUCGAGGAAUUCUGUCAAUUCAACUAUACCAUCAUCCUUGCUGGAUAUGCUCUCAUGCUGGCAUAUGCUAUUGUUACUAAUUCUCGAUUUGACAACUGCCUUCCGGCUACAGAAUCAUCAAUGGGGGUUCGCCCUUGCAGGAGUUCUUGUCGUCACAUUCGCUUCAGUGGCAGGUAUUGGUCUCGCCACUUGGUUUGGAAUAGAAUUCAACGCUGCUACAACACAAAUUGUACCAUUCCUCACUCUUGGAAUCGGUGUUGAUAAUAUGUUCAUGUUAUUGCACAACUAUCGUGACGUUGUUAAACUUGCUGGCGGACACGCUGAGAUGGCUAUCCUGAUGCGUGAAACUGGAAUGUCAAUUCUGUGCACUUCGAUCAACAACAUUCUUUCCUUCCUCACUGGAACUCUUCUACCAAUUCCAGCUCUGCGAUCAUUCUGUGCUCAGUCCAGUAUUCUUCUCACAUUCAAUUUCAUAGCUAUCCUUACAAUCUAUCCAGCGAUCAUUUCUAUUGAUCUUCGACGAAAGAAGGCUCAGCGUCGUGAUUUCGACACUAGAGAAGAAUCGUACUCGAUGAUUUCUAAACCAAAGAUUCAAAGUAAACGAAUUAUUGGAGCACUUCGGAAGCUUCGAUUAUGCAACAGUUCGACGGAAUAACUCAAGCGCAGAUGGCAUCGAGCGAUGAUCCAGCUCCAUGGUCUCUUCAUUCAUUCAUCCGUUACUACUACAUUCCAUUCAUUUCUAAACCAGCAUCUAAAGUAGCAAUCAUCGUUGGCUGCUGUGCUUUGCUCGGUGCAUCAUUUGUUGGAAUGCGUCAGUCGACACUCGGUCUUGAAUUGGGAGAUGUUCUACCAGAACAUACUGCACCUGCACAGUUCUUGAGAGCCAGAGACAAGUACUUCAGGUAAGAAGUUCGUUUUUGAUUCAAAACAUUUUUUUUUCUUUUUUCAGUUUCUACCCAAUGUUCGCAGUCAUCAAGGGACCUAACAUUGAUUAUGCUCACCAGCAACGCCAGAUUGACAAUUACCGACAGUCGAUUGGAUCUUCAAAAUAUGUGAUUAAAAAUAAAAACGAAGAGCCAUCAGAAAAGUAUUGGCUGGGAUUAAUGCGAGACUGGCUCAUUAGUAUUCAACGCGGAUUCGAUGAAGAAGUUGCUAAAGGAUCAUUCAAUCUUACAUCUGGAACAGUUAUUGGCAGCAAUGUUUCCGAGGAUGCUCGUCUUGCUCACGCUCUCAUGUGCUCUCAUGGUUCUCUAUUUGAGUGUGCUGGAAGAAUAGGAAAGAUUCGACUAGUUGAUGCAAGUGGAAUUAUCAACUCUGAUGGAUUCUACAACUUUCUUCCCAACACCACCAAAAUGGGAAUUGAGCAAGAAUAAUACCGAAAACUUCAUCCCAACUGCUGAGCCACUUGCAUAUUCGCAGAUUCCAUUCUACUUAACUGGCCUCACGGAUACUGCUGUGAUUGUCGAUGCCAUAAAGGACAUCCGAAGUGUUUGUGAACGAUUUACCGAUCAAGGACUUCCAAAUUUCCCACAAGGAAUCGCAUUCACAUUCUGGGAACAAUAUCUUUUCUUGACUGGAAAUCUUAUGCAAGCCAUUUCGAUCAUUACCAUCUCUGUCUUCUGUGUCAUUUCCGUUCUUCUUUUUAAUCCAUGGGCUGCACUUAUGGUUGUUUGUAUUCUCGGAAUCAUGACUUGCGAACUUGCCGGAUUCAUGGGACUCGUUGGAAUUAAGCUCAAUCCGGUUUCAGCCGUAACUUUGAUCACCGCAGUUGGAAUUGGAGUCGAAUUCACUGUUCAUGUGGUUGUCUCAUUCCUGACGGCGCUCGGAACAAGAUCUCAACGAACGUCAUCUGCAGUUGAUCGAGUUUUUGUUCCAGUAAUUCAUGGAUCAUUCUCCACACUUCUCGGUAUUUUGAUGCUUGGAUUCUCAGUUUGAGUGAGUUUUACAGAAGUAUGGAUGUCAUCAGAAUUUUAUUUUUCAGAUUUGUUGUCAAAUAUUUCUCUAUUGUCAUGACGGCUCUGAUUUGCAUUGGAACGGACUAAUUCUUCUCCCAGUUUUAUAAUCUUGUUUUGUUCCAAGAAGAGAGAUAAAAUGUUUUGUUCCAAGAAGAGAGAUAAAAUAGAGAUUCCGUAGUAAAAUAUCCAAUUGUAGUAAAAGAUCUAGAUGUGGAAUUCUUAGUAAAAGAGAUUCCGUAGUAAAAGAGAUCCUGUAGUAAAAGAGAUGCGUUGUAAAAGAUCAAGUAGUAAAACAGUAUUUGCCCAAAGUCUGACCAGCGAAUCAUAUCAUCAACUGACAGCGCACUCAACGACGUCCCAAGUGAUCGGAGUGAGGAUUUUGGGAGAGAUGGAUGCGGCUCAAAAGCUUUCGAUCCAUCGCAAAAAUAAUCUAUUGGAGUAAUCCAAAUGCAUAUCAUAUCGAUGACGUCACCAAGCGAGGAAGCGGCAGAAUCGGCUGCGACAGAUGGUGGAGCUGGUUUGAAGCAGAUGUCGGAUAGAGACCAGUCCCUAAAAUGAUCAAUUGUUACAAGAAAAAUAUAUUGGUAGUCUUCACUUACACUCCAUGAACUGAAACGUUGAAACUAGCGAUGUGCUUCAUAAUCUCGGCGUGUUUUAGAAGAGCGAAGAGGUCCUGCAGCAAGUGCAUCUUGUCCCACACGUUUUUUUUAUUUUCCAAUAAUCCACAUUAAUUGUAAUCAAUGUUGCAAUCUGAAAAGUGAAAAUCAGCUAAAUCAGAAAAAAGGAAACAACUUACGUUGAGAGUUUAAAUAUAUAAAAACCAGCCGUUCGCACGCGCUGAAGCGCGUGCUCCGACUGGCGUACUCAAAAUUAAAAUCAAAUUCUGAAAUUUCUGAGCCUUUCUUUGCAGAUGAAACGUUUUUCCCUGUUUUCCGGAAGUUCUCGAGCAACAUAAAUAUCUACAAACUAUGGAACAAACGGCCUUCAUUCCGAGAUGACAAACUUUUUGGUGGCAAAGGUUCUUUGGGGGCAUAGUAUCCAAGGAGACAAAGUAUCCAGUAGACAAACUGGGGUGUAUCUUGGGGGGCAUAUCUUUGGUGACAACCUUUUUUUCAACUAGAUUUUUAUAUGUAUUUUUCAACUAAUUUUUGUUCACAUUUUUCUGGAAUAAGUUUUUUAAUGCAAUUUUCAAUCGAUUAUCGGUUAUAAUUCCCUCACAAUUAAAUGUAUGAACGAUGGUCUUUUGGGAAAAGCUGUAAAAGGUCCAACUAACUUGGAAUAUCGUGAGGCUCUUCCUGAUGGUCUGAUCCUUCAGCUCCGAGGGAUCACAUAGGUACCUUCUGAUGUUCUGAUCCUUCAGAAAAGAAGGAUCGUAAGGGUACCUCCUGAUGGUCUGAUCCUUCAGCUCCAAAGGAUCACGAGGCUCUUCCUGAUGUUCUGAUCCUUCAGCUCCGAAGGAUCACAUGGGUACCUUCUGAUGUUCUGAUCCUUCAGAUAAGAAGGAUCGUAAGGGUACCUCCUGAUGGUCUGAUCCUUCAGCUCCAAAGGAUCACGAGGCUCUUCCUGAUGUUCUGAUCCUUCAGCUCCGAAGGAUCCGACGUCAUCAUCUCGAAGAAUCUUACGAUAUUCCAAGUUAGUUGGACGUUUUACAGCAUUUUCCCAAAAGAUCAUUGUUCAUGCAUUCAAUUGUGAGUAGUCAAGGCCGAAAAUCCAUGGAAAAUUGCAUUUAAAAACUUAUUCCAGUAAAAUAUGAACAAAAAAUGGUCAAGAAAUAUAUAUAAAAAAACUAGUUGAAAAAGUUUGUCACCGAAGAUACGCCCGGUCAGAGACAAAUGGCACUUUGUCGACUGGAUACCAUGUCACUUUGGAUACUUUGUCCCCAAAAAUACCUUGCCACCCUAAAAGUUUGUCCCCUCGGAAUGAGGGCCAGUUACCAGUGGCCAUAAUCGUGUGAUUAUUAUUUGGGAUGUUCGAAGUGUUUGCUCCGCCCUUUCUGGAUCACAAUAGACAAUUGCUUCUUCUACUUCUUGAAUGUCUCAUAAUUCUUCUUAUUUUUAUCUAAUUUAUUGCUUCUCCUUUCUAUUUUGUAUAUUAACUCCCAAAAACGCCCAUUCUUCCCCAAAACCAUCUAAAACUUACCAAUAUUUCCCGAUACCCCUGACAGGUUAUCCUGAAUAAUGAUUGUGAUUCUCAAAUUUCUUCUAAUCCCGUUAAUUCCCCAAAUAUUCGAAUGUAACUUUUUUUGGAAUUUUUUUGUUUUCUAGUUUAUAAAUAAACAAUAUGUUUGAAAAACAAUCGUAAUUUGCGUUUUAGAUGGUUAAACGGUAGGAAGCUUAAGCUUCCUACAACAUCCAAAUACAAUGCAAUAUUUUCUGAAAUUCUAAAUAUCAAAACAUCAUCCGGAAUAUGGAGAUUUAAUGCAACUCUAUAGAGGUUUAUGGGGACUUAGUCUUCUGGAAAUUGAAUUAUGUGAUUAUGAAUUAAUUUUAAAAAAACCAAUCCCAAUCAUACGAUCGUCGACGACGAUCGUCCCUCGCGUCUCGCGAGAGCCAACUGGUUAUAGCUUUUCGGGAGGUUUAAAUGUUUUAUCAAUUUUAUACGGUACGGUCUGGAAUAUUCCACAAUUUUUUAUCUGUUUUAACAGAGAAUAUCUCUCCAUGGAGAUGCUAAAAUUUUGAGAGAUAAAUAAGCAAAUCGCAUUGUUUGAAAAUUUCAAUUUGGAUACGGUAGACAAUGACAAAGUACGCAAACACCAGAGUAUGUGACACACUUUCGUCAUUCUCAAAUUCAAUUUGAAAUAUUAUUUUCUUAUUCCUAUUCUCUAUUUUCUGUGAAUUGAUAGUUUUUCUAUAAGUAACCAUUCGAAUAAAAUUAUCAACUAAUCGACAUGGACCAAUCAAAAAUGCGCUAUACAAAUCAGUUCAGAAAAGUUGGUUUUCAGCCAUUAAUAUUGAUAAAUGGCCUAAAUUUUACAGACUCCGCAAAAGCCCACAUCUACAGAGGUUGGAAAUCAUCAUACUCCCGCACAUUCGCCGAUGGCGCAGCAUGAGACAUCAAUGUGGAACUUCAACUCUCUCAACCCGUAUUUCUCAAUGCUCAAUAUGAACGAUGGGAUGAAUUAUGCUCGCCAUCAACAGAAUCACAUUGUUACAUCGCGGCCACCAACCCCGCUAACUGAUUUGAUGAGCCUCCGGAGUUUUCAGAGCUUUGUAAGUUAGAGUAGCUAAUUUUUGGUUGUUUUCAUUACUGAUUUGCAGCCCAAUGUGUUCAUGCCGGUCUCGCGUAGCCGAACUUCAUCAUUCAUUCAGUCUGAUACGGAUUCCUCGCGUCUCGAGCCGGACGAUUUUUCACAAAAUGUCCGAUAUUGCUCUACCGAGAUUGAUCGUAACAAUAGUUCUUCGAAAAAUGACCAUUUGAAAUAUUCGAGG